RNAcentral lists this ribosomal RNA (468 nucleotides) under uncultured bacterium. RNAcentral describes it as "partial 16S ribosomal RNA". It matches the Rfam family "Bacterial small subunit ribosomal RNA", at positions 28 to 507 of the family's 1533-position model. The record is from RNAcentral.
GAUGAACGCUGGCGGCGUGCUUAACACAUGCAAGUCGAACGGAAAGGCCCAAGCUUGCUUGGGUACUCGAGUGGCGAACGGGUGAGUAACACGUGGGUGAUCUGCCCUGCACUUCGGGAUAAGCCUGGGAAACUGGGUCUAAUACCGGAUAGGACCACUUCUUGGAUGUUGUGGUGGAAAGUUUUUCGGUGUGGGAUGAGCUCGCGGCCUAUCAGCUUGUUGGUGGGGUAAUGGCCUACCAAGGCGUCGACGGGUAGCCGGCCUGAGAGGGUGUACGGCCACAUUGGGACUGAGAUACGGCCCAGACUCCUACGGGAGGCAGCAGUGGGGAAUAUUGCACAAUGGGAGCAAGCCUGAUGCAGCGACGCCGCGUGGGGGAUGACGGCCUUCGGGUUGUAAACUCCUUUCGCUAGGGACGAAGCUUAUUUUGUGACGGUACCUGGAGAAGAAGCACCGGCUAACUACGUG